AGGAACUGGAUUUAAAUGGCGAGAUGCAGACAACGUUCCUGGACUGAAAGGUUUGGCUGCAGCAGAAAGCUUGCUUCCAUUUGUUUCAGAAGAUUUUGCUUGAUCAGAUGAAGGGGAAACCUUCUCAAGUUCUGAUGAAGAGUUAUCUUGUUCAGAUUCAUCUUGUUGUGGAUCUGUAUCAGCAUCAGAAGGUUCUUUUUCAUCUUUUUGUGGAACUGUAUCAGCAUUAGAUGUUUCAACAGAACCUUCAUUUUUCGGCAUCUCGUUU
RNAcentral lists this long non-coding RNA (268 nucleotides) under Medicago truncatula (barrel medic). RNAcentral's name for it is "long non-coding RNA (MTRU_LNC001395)". Lineage: Eukaryota; Viridiplantae; Streptophyta; Magnoliopsida; Fabales; Fabaceae. The record is from RNAcentral.